This is a non-coding RNA of Zonotrichia albicollis (white-throated sparrow), 4166 nucleotides long. The record is from RefSeq and is a predicted model, not a curated record. NCBI's taxonomy places the organism in Eukaryota, Metazoa, Chordata, Aves, Passeriformes, Passerellidae.
UUUUUUUAACGAGGAUCCGAGCCUCGCUUGCUGUUGUCAGAGCAAAACACUUCUGCCGCUUAAAGUCAGAUCUACGUCUUUUGCAAUAAUACUAAAAAAAAAAAAAGAAGGAUAAAUAAUUGCCUUAAAGCCUCAGCCGAACUGCCAACCACACCUUCGGAUGGGACAUUCCUCGCAGCAGCAGUGUUAGACGCCGAAUUGAAGAAAAUCCUGGAGUUGAACAUAUCUUCGGGGUUAGAAGGCAGAAAUAUGUGAACUGCUGAGAGAGGUGGGUACUUUUUGUUCUAGUUUCAGACCUGUCCUAACCCUGUGGUGCCUGCAAGAGGUGCAUGAGGAGGGGAAUAUUGAGGGAAUGCUGCUCGGGACGUGUUUGGCUUCUCCGGACCUUGUCUGGGUUUAAUCACAGGCUUUGGGACAAAAUGUGCAUUAUUAAGAAGUAUAAAUAUUUUCAGAAGCAAUCAAAGGGUUGAAAGAUUGAUUCGGCAUGUAGAUUGGAUUUAAUUCGAAGCAGCUUUGUUCUAAUGAGGACUACUGGGAUACAAAGACGGCAGCCGCUUAUGGCCACCAGUUGGGAACUUCCACUCGCUGCAGCAACCUGUCAAGAAUUCCAAGGAACUGCCAGGGUAAAAUUGCCUGCAGGGUACGUUUGCUGGAGCCUGUGAAUUCCUCCUGAGGUCAGUGGGUACCGGGUGCUGGGCAGCACAGCCUCUCCUGACCGGGCACGGUGGGCUCCAGCUGCUUCCCAAGAGACAGGGACAGUGAUGAAGAACGUGGGAUUUCCCACAGGAAUUUGGAAGAUGCCCAUGUCUAAGGCAAUGGUGAGGAUUGGGCCAAAAUCCAGCCUUGAUUCCUUCAUCCAAGUGACCCUGUGCUGACCCAUGGCUGCUGAUGGAUCGCAGCGACGUGGACCUUCCUCCCUCCCUCCCUCCUCGCUGCCCUGCAUCAGAUCACCAGGAGCACCUGAAAGCACUGGAUGAGCCAUCACAAGACCAUGAUUGGAAAGCAGGGGGACCAAGCACUCAAAGGUGGCAGAUGCAGCAGGUUCCCUGGCCCUGAGCUCAGCUCUUGCUCAUGGCACAAGAGGCCAGAGGUGGGAACUCUUUCUGUCUUGGCUACUCCUCAUCAGUGCUUUGAGCUGAACAAAGCCCUGAGAACCAAGGAAACACGAGUGCACCACCAGGGAUUUGCUCCUCUCUGCACCUGAAGCACAGCACAAAGUUACACCCUUUGCUUCUGCAGAUUCCUGAUGCUAAAGGUCUGACCUUAAAAUGAGCAGUGCAUAGGGCAAGAGUGGGUACUGCAGUGAGCUUCUGGCCUUCAACCCUUCCAAAUACAGCUAUUUUGGUAACCAGAACACUAUAUUCACCAUGGGUGAGGGAACAGAGCCUUUCAGUGCUGGGCUUCUCGGCACAUUAACUCUCUCAGUGCUGGAUUCUGGGUCCCUGUGUGAGUUGCCUGUGCCUAUUUAAGACCAUAAAUACAGAUUUGCAGAAGCCUGCAGCAUUUUGUAACUUCAUGGUUGUGUUUUAGUGCCUGAUGCACCCAAAAACUGGAUUGAAUCCUGUGGAUUUCCAUGUGGAUCUGGGAAGGACUGUAAUCACACGCAGCUGAGAGUGGCUCAGACUUGGAUUUCUGGUUGGCAGGAGAGGCACAGCCUGGUUUGCUACAAUGCAACUGUCCUCAUUAAUGUUCCUCAAGCCCUGAUGUACUGGGACCGCCAUGGUUGGGUCAGAAGAUGGCUGAGUUUUCCAGGCUCAUUCUCUUGUCUUCAGAAUGUUAAAUUGGGUGAUAAUGAGUAGUAACUGUGUCCUUUUUUAUGGUGAAGUUGACACUUGCCUUCUAGUAAACAGACACAGAGAUGACCCUCCUCAUUUCGCACAGGUCACCAAACAGCCCUGGAAUAGUAGGGGUUAUUGGCCAUUUACCAAACUCUGUUUGACUUGGGUUCAUGGGUGAGAGAUGAAAGGCUCUAUAUUGCAUUACCAAUCCCUGGGGCCAGCCAGUCUCCCUAAAGAAGCAUUUCAUUUAGCAAGGCAACUGCUGGCCCAUGGGAAUCCGAGACUCGGGAAAAAGAGGACACAGUUUCAAUUGCAAAUGUUUCCUCAGGGCAGAUGUCUUAAAGCCACACAGAAACUCACUGCUUCAGUGUCACAAUAGUUGCUCCAGGACACUUAAUGACCAGCAGAUUUUCCCCUUUAAUUAAUCUCCCCUUUUUCCCAAGAAAACAUCCGUUAGGUUCCUUGUGGUUUUUCUGCCUCUGCCCUGCUGCUCUGUCCAUCUCCCUGGGGCAAGACCAUUGCAGUGGUUGUGAACUGUUACCUUUUCCAAGAGCUUCAAAAUUGAAACAGAUGAAGCAAGGAGCCCUGGUAACACACUUAAAGGUUUUGGGCUCUUGGGGGGAGAAAUGAGUACUCCUGAAGUGCCCAAAUAUUUUCCUUACCCUAGAGCAAAGAUGCUGACUGAUUUUCUUGGUUAUAGUAGAGUGGUCAUUGGGGUAGUCCAAGUGAUGCCUUUUUUACAGAUAAUGGAUGUGGUGAUUGAUGGCUACAGGAAGAAGAAUAUUUGAUUCAGACCAAGAAUUCAACCCAGACUUGUCCUGAUUUUCCUAUGAUCUGAAAAUCCAGUGUUGUUCCAAAUUCAUUAUCACUGAUUAAAAUCCCUUUUCAGUUUCCCCCCUCUCUGUUUGUGAUGUGAGUCAUGAGACAUUCAGAAGUUGCAUUUGUUGUUUGAUAGUUUUACAUCAUAGUUGUAAUAGUGCAUCUGCCAAGUCAGCAGGUCCUUCUCUGUGUUUGUUUAUUUGUUUACCACUCCAUUUCCAGCAAGUUCUUGUUACCCAAUUCCUGCUGACAACAGAGGAAGAGGCACAAGUCAGCUCAGAAAAUGAACGACUAGAAGGUAAGUGAAAAGAAUAGUAAACACAGGCCAUUCAUGUAACAGGAUCCGAUUCAUUUUUAUGCCAGGGAGAUUUUUUAAAUGGGACUUCUCCCAGUGGAGAGCUCUCAGUGCUCAAGGCCUGUUUCACUAAAAAGACAAUACAUAAUUAUUCUGAGCUUAUUAUUAUAUUUUUAUCACUGUUUUUCCAGUUGCAAGGAGUGAGGGCAGAGAUGAGAUCAGGACCAGAUCAUUGUGCAGCUCACAGGGCUGCAGGACCCUGUGGAGGUAAAUGCACCCAGGCUGAAGGUUCAGGUGACAGGUCUGAGAUGGGAGAAUCCAUCAAAAUCCAGCAAAAAUGGGGACUCAGCCUCCUGAGCUCCUCAGUCCUGGGCUCCUGCUGCUUGUUGCUUUCAGCAUCUUUUCCCUUCACACUUAUUUUGAAUCACCGAAAUGAUGAAUUGAAAAAAUGUCAUGUCAUUUGAAGCACUCUUUAUUGUAUUUAUAGGAAACAGAUUAUCUGUUCUCUGAGGAUAGUGGAAACUGAGUAUGAUGAGCUCAUCUGGAGAAAAUGUAGGUUGGGUGUGACAGAGAAACUUGUGUUUUAUACCUCAGUGACAUCUUAAUUUCUGGUUUUGGUAUGACAGACUCAGUGAUACUGAACCAUGCUGGUUCCUGCUUUCAGGCUGGGGUCACAAGUUGGACUUGGAAGAAGAAACUUCCAUGCAGAGAUGUGACUGCAGUGUGAAUACUGUGCCAGGUUUCUUUACAGAUGAAACCUGGAGUGUCCUAAAAUCCAGAAACUACUCAAUACCAGCAACUUCCACACCCCUGUGUGCUCCUGCCAUUGCUUUGAACCAGUUUAUUUAUUCAUUUGGGCUCUGAGCACUCGGAUGCAUUCCUUCUUGCUGCAACAGCAGGGGUACAGGAAGGGGUGUUUGAAGCCACGCAGUCAAUUCCACCCUGGAUUUCAGGAGGAGUUAUUCUUGUCUCAGGGAUGACGCAUUCAAAUAUCCCUCUACGGAUUCCAGUUCUCAGCCCAAGGGUCAUGGAUGGUGACAGCUCUCAUCUACUUUGGAGCUGUUCUAUCUUCUAAGAGAAAUCAGGAAGAUGAGUUGAGAGAGAUGCUUUACUUUCUUUGAUAAAACAAAUGGCCAGUUUUAGCCUAAUCAUCACUUCUGCCUGAGGAAAGAGAAACUCUUUGAGGUUUAUCUCUAAUUCUGUUGGAAUUGAUUGAAAUUAUUCCAUUGACUUCAGCAAACUCUCUUUCCUGCUGGAUCAAAGGCAAUAUUUGU